Molecule: long non-coding RNA, 1502 nt
Organism: Fukomys damarensis (Damara mole-rat)
Lineage: Eukaryota; Metazoa; Chordata; Mammalia; Rodentia; Bathyergidae
Source: Ensembl
GGGAGCCGAGGGGCUAGGAGAGGGGCCUGGGCAAAGCGAGGCGAGGCAAGGCGGUGGGAGGUUGCGGGGCGGGACCCCAGGCUAGUCCGGCUGGGAGAGCGCAAGCCUAGAAAGGAAGAAACCAUGACGCGGGGGAAAACUGAAAACUAUGGGUGGAAUGGCUUUCCAGGGUCCCUCCAGCCUUGAGCGUUGAGCUUGGAAGGUAGUGAGUCCCGUUUCUGGGAAGACUGCCGCUCAGAGAGCUAGAUGGCCCGGACCCACGCAGCUCUGAGUCAGGGCAGAAAUGUGGGAAAGCUCCGCCGCGGCGAGGUGUCAUUGGGAGCAGUUUGUCUCGUAGCCUUGUGACCCAGCUUGUCUUGUUCCAAAUGUUGUGAGGACUACCUGAGACUGUGCCUGCCAACAUCUGGACCCGGAAGGACAAGAGGAUCUGAUACCAGAGAGCGGGGACGGAGGGGAGCGGCAGUCGAGCUCCAGGCUCCGCCACCCUCCUCCACAGGUCGGUCCACUCAGGCCUCGCAGCCUCUGCGGAGGAAACGUACCCGGCCGACUUCCACUGAUGACCCGGGCCUUCCGGGAAGCAUCUGCGCCGCGCUCCGUCACUGCCCCGGCCUCCGUGGGCAGGAAGCCCCGCGUCUGUGUCACCUCCGUCUCCGGCAGCAGGGGCCCGCGUGGCCGAAGGGCCUCAGUGAGGUCAGCCCGCUGGUGCUGCGCAGAUCGCUUGCGUUGUUUUCCUCUUGCAAAGUGGAAAUUGCUUUCCUUAUUAUAAAUAUAAGUGCAGACGUGUGGGUUUUCAAAAACAUCACACAAAUGCAGGAAAGCCUAAAGAAAAAGCCCACUUCACCUCUGAUCCCACCACCCAUGAAACACAGAUGCAAGCACUUUUUUUUUUUUCCUCCAGAAAGGAAACCAAGCCUGGCCUUGUGGUGCACCCUGUGAUCCCCGUGCUCUGGAGGCUGAGGCAGGAAGACCUCAGAGUUUGAAGUCAGUCCGGAAUAUAGCAAGACAAUGUCUCCAAAAAACAAAAAAAAAUAAAAGAAAAUUAAAAGAAAAGAAACCAAAUGAACAUACUGUUGGAAUCGGAUUUAUUUUGAGGCAGAGACUUGCGUUACCCAGGCUGGCCUUAAACUCUCGGAUAUCCUCCUGCUUCAGCUUCCUGAAUGCUGAGAUUACAGGUGAGCACCGUCAUGCCCAGGGGCUGUUGUCAUGAUUGAUUUGCAUUUCCUAGAAGUUUAUAUAAAUGGAAUUGAACCUAUUUUUGAUCUGGCUUCUUUUCCUAAUCACAAUUAACUUCAUUUAGUUCAUACGCACACACCCGCUGCCCAUGCUGGACAUUUAGCGCUGGUCUGUGGCCCGCUGCUCUGAAGAUUAACGUACAAAUUCUGUGUGUUCUUAUUUCUUCUGGCUCCACCUUGCAGAAUGUGAUGGCUGGGUCAUAAGGGAAGUGUGUUCAGCUUUUUGAGAAACUACCACAUUUUUCCAAAGUUGUUUUUUCACCAGUGGCC